UACGAAGGGGGCUAGCGUUGCUCGGAAUCACUGGGCGUAAAGCGCGUGUAGGCGGCCCACUAAGUCUGAUGUGAAAGCCCGGGGCUCACCCCCGGAAGUGCAUUGGAAACUGGUGGACUCGAGUCCCGGAGAGGAGAGUGGAAUUCCUGGUGUAGCGGUGAAAUGCGUAGAUAUCAGGAGGAACACCGGUGGCGAAGGCGGCUCUCUGGACGGUGACUGACGCUGAGACGCGAAAGCGUGGGGAGCAAACAGG
This 253-nucleotide ribosomal RNA is filed under the name uncultured bacterium. RNAcentral's name for it is "partial 16S ribosomal RNA". It matches the Rfam family "Bacterial small subunit ribosomal RNA", at positions 524 to 776 of the family's 1533-position model. The record is from RNAcentral.